CCUACGGGAGGCUGCAGUAGGGAAUAUUGCUCAAUGGGGGAAACCCUGAAGCAGCAACGCCGCGUGGAGGAUGAAGGUUUUCGGAUUGUAAACUCCUGUUGUUAGAGAAGAUAAUGACUGUAUCUAACGAAUAAGCACCGGCUAACUCCGUGCCAGCAGCCGCGGUAAUACGGAGGGUGCAAGCGUUACGCGGAAUCACUGGGCGGAAAGAGCGCGUAGGCGGGAUAGCAAGUCAGAUGUGAAAUCCUAUGGCUUAACCAUAGAACUGCAUUUGAAACUGUUAUUCUAGAGUAUGGGAGAGGUAGGUGGAAUUCUUGGUGUAGGGGUAAAAUCCGUAGAGAGCAAGAGGAAUACUCAUUGCGAAGGCGACCUGCUAGAACAUAACUGACGCUGAUGCGCGAAAGCGUGGGGAGCAAACAGGAUUAGAUACCCGAGUAGUC
RNAcentral lists this ribosomal RNA (440 nucleotides) under uncultured bacterium. RNAcentral's name for it is "partial 16S ribosomal RNA". It matches the Rfam family "Bacterial small subunit ribosomal RNA", at positions 338 to 795 of the family's 1533-position model. The record is from RNAcentral.